This 253-nucleotide ribosomal RNA is filed under the name uncultured bacterium. RNAcentral describes it as "partial 16S ribosomal RNA". It matches the Rfam family "Bacterial small subunit ribosomal RNA", at positions 524 to 776 of the family's 1533-position model. The record is from RNAcentral.
UACAGAGGGGGCAAGCGUUGUUCGGAAUUACUGGGUGUAAAGGUCGCGUAGGCGGCCUUCUAAGUCGAACGUGAAAUCCCCGGGCUCAACCCGGGAACUGCGUCCGAUACUGGAAGGCUUGAAUCCGGGAGAGGUGAGUGGAACUGCGAGUGUAGAGGUGAAAUUCGUAGAUAUUCGCAAGAACACCAGUGGCGAAGGCGGCUCACUGGCCCGGUACUGACGCUGAGGCACGAAAGCGUGGGGAGCAAACAGG